RNAcentral lists this ribosomal RNA (491 nucleotides) under uncultured bacterium. RNAcentral describes it as "partial 16S ribosomal RNA". It matches the Rfam family "Bacterial small subunit ribosomal RNA", at positions 29 to 507 of the family's 1533-position model. The record is from RNAcentral.
GUGAACGCUGGCGGUAGGCCUCACCCCUGCAAGUCGAACGGCAGCACAGUAAGAGCUUGCUCUUACGGGUGGCGAGUGGCGGACGGGUGAGGAAUACAUCGGAAUCUACUUUUUCGUGGGGGAUAACGUAGGGAAACUUACGCUAAUACCGCAUACGACCUACGGGUGAAAGCAGGGGAUCUUCGGACCUUGCGCGAUUGAAUGAGCCGAUGUCGGAUUAGCUAGUUGGCGGGGUAAAGGCCCACCAAGGCGACGAUCCGUAGCUGGUCUGAGAGGAUGAUCAGCCACACUGGAACUGAGACACGGUCCAGACUCCUACGGGAGGCAGCAGUGGGGAAUAUUGGACAAUGGGCGCAAGCCUGAUCCAGCCAUACCGCGUGGGUGAAGAAGGCCUUCGGGUUGUAAAGCCCUUUUGUUGGGAAAGAAAAGCAGCAGGUUAAUACCCCGCUGUUCUGACGGUACCCAAAGAAUAAGCACCGGCUAACUUCGUG